UCAUCGCCUGUUUUACAAAAACAUGUCUGUUUGUAGUGUUAAAAAGUCUUGCCUGCCCACUGAAAUUUUAAAGGGCUGCGGUAAUUUGACCGUGCGAAGGUAGCAUAAUCAAUAGUCUUUUAAUUGAUGACUGGAAUGAACGGCGUUACGAGAAAUAAGCUGUCUUUUAGGCACAAAUUGAAUUUUACUUUCAAGUGAAAAGGCUUGAAUAGAAUUAAGGGACGAUAAGACCCUAUAAAACUUAACAUAAUAUCUCUUUUGGUAAUUUGAAGUGAAGUUAAAAUUGAAGUUAUACUGUUUGGUUGGGGCGACCUAGAUAUAAUUAARUAGCUGUCUAAAAAUAAAAAUAAUAAUAAUUUGUUUUGUGAACCUUUAUUAAGGAUUAAAAAAUUAAGUUACUUUAGGGAUAACAGCGUAAUUUUUUCAGAGAGUUCUUAUCGAAGAAAGUAGUUGCGACCUCGAUGUUGAAUUAAAAUUUCUUUUAAAUGAAGCAGUUUAAAUAGUGGGUCUGUUCGACCUUUAAAAUUUUACAUGAUUUGAGUUCAAACCGGUGUGAGCCAGGUUGGUUUCUAUCUCUGAUUUCUAUCUA
RNAcentral lists this ribosomal RNA (589 nucleotides) under Hippolyte ngi. RNAcentral's name for it is "LSU rRNA". It matches the Rfam family "Bacterial large subunit ribosomal RNA", at positions 1793 to 2657 of the family's 2925-position model. Lineage: Eukaryota; Metazoa; Arthropoda; Malacostraca; Decapoda; Hippolytidae. The record is from RNAcentral.